This 494-nucleotide ribosomal RNA is filed under the name uncultured bacterium. Its description in RNAcentral is "partial 16S ribosomal RNA". It matches the Rfam family "Bacterial small subunit ribosomal RNA", at positions 28 to 507 of the family's 1533-position model. The record is from RNAcentral.
GACGAACGCUGGCGGCGUGCUUAACACAUGCAAGUCGAACGGAAAGGCCUGCUUUCCCUUGUGGAUUGCGGGUACUCGAGUGGCGAACGGGUGAGUAAAACGUGAGUGAUCUGCCCCCAACUUGGGUAUAAGCCUGGGAAACUGGGUCUAAUUCCCGAUAGGACUGCAGGGUGGUGCCUGUGGUGGAAAACGAUUUUCUAGUGGUUGGGGAUGAGCUCGCGGCCUAUCAGCUUGUUGGUGGGGUAAUGGCCUACCAAGGCGGCGACGGGUAGCCGGCCUGGGAGGGUGGACGGCCACAUUGGGACUGAGAUACGGCCCAGACUCCUACGGGAGGCAGCAGUGGGGAAUAUUGCACAAUGGGCGGAAGCCUGAUGCAGCGACGCCGCGUGGGGGAUGACGGCCUUCGGGUUGUAAACUCCUUUCGACCGCGAGGAAGCCACCUGGUUGGAAGGGUGGUGACGGUAGUGGUAGAAGAAGCACCGGCUAACUACGUG